Molecule: ribosomal RNA, 541 nt
Filed under: Apilactobacillus kunkeei
Lineage: Bacteria; Bacillati; Bacillota; Bacilli; Lactobacillales; Lactobacillaceae
Description: bacterial SSU rRNA
Rfam family: Bacterial small subunit ribosomal RNA
Source: RNAcentral
CCGAAGCGGGGGAUAACAUUUGGAAACAAGUGCUAAUACCGCAUAAUUAGUUGGAACCGCAUGGUUCCAACUUGAAAGAUGGCUCUGCUAUCACUUUGGGAUGGACCCGCGCCGUAUUAGUUAGUUGGUGAGAUAAAAGCCCACCAAGACGAUGAUACGUAGCCGACCUGAGAGGGUAAUCGGCCACAUUGGGACUGAGACACGGCCCAGACUCCUACGGGAGGCAGCAGUAGGGAAUCUUCCACAAUGGACGAAAGUCUGAUGGAGCAACGCCGCGUGAGUGAUGAAGGUUUUCGGAUCGUAAAACUCUGUUGUUAAAGAAGAACAAGUGUUAGAGUAACUGUUAACACUUUGACGGUAUUUAACCAGAAAGCCACGGCUAACUACGUGCCAGCAGCCGCGGUAAUACGUAGGUGGCAAGCGUUGUCCGGAUUUAUUGGGCGUAAAGCGAGCGCAGGCGGUUUUGUAAGUCUGCUGUGAAAGCCCUCAGCUCAACUGAGGAAGUGCAGUGGAAACUACAAAACUUGAGUACAGAAGAGGA